This 440-nucleotide ribosomal RNA is filed under the name uncultured bacterium. Its description in RNAcentral is "partial 16S ribosomal RNA". It matches the Rfam family "Bacterial small subunit ribosomal RNA", at positions 338 to 795 of the family's 1533-position model. The record is from RNAcentral.
CCUACGGGAGGCAGCAGUGGGGAAUAUUGCACAAUGGGGGAAACCCUGAUGCAGCGACGCCGCGUGAGUGAAGAAGUAUUUCGGUAUGUAAAGCUCUAUCAGCAGGGAAGAAAAUGACGGUACCUGAUUAAGAAGCCCCGGCUAACUACGUGCCAGCAGCCGCGGUAAUACGUAGGGGGCAAGCGUUAUCCGGAUUUACUGGGUGUAAAGGGAGCGUAGACGGCAGCACAAGUCUGGAGUGAAAUGCCGGGGCUUAACCCCGGAACUGCUUUGGAAACUGUGCAGCUAGAGUGCAGGAGAGGUAAGUGGAAUUCCUAGUGUAGCGGUGAAAUACGUAGAUAUUAGGAGGAACACCAGUGGCGAAGGCGGCUUACUGGACUGUAACUGACGUUGAGGCUCGAAAGCGUGGGGAGCAAACAGGAUUAGAUACCCUAGUAGUC